CCUACGGGCGGCUGCAGUGGGGAAUAUUGGACAAUGGGGGGAACCCUGAUCCAGCCAUGCCGCGUGUGUGAAGAAGGCCCUCGGGUUGUAAAACACUUUCAGUGAGGAAGAACGCCUGGUGGUUAAUACCCAUCAGGAAAGACAUCACUCACAGAAGAAGCACCGGCUAACUCCGUGCCAGCAGCCGCGGUAAUACGGAGGGUGCGAGCGUUAAUCGGAAUUACUGGGCGUAAAGCGCGCGUAGGUGGCUUGAUAAGCCGGUUGUGAAAGCCCCGGGCUCAACCUGGGAACGGCAUCCGGAACUGUCAAGCUAGAGUGCAGGAGAGGAAGGUAGAAUUCCCGGUGUAGCGGUGAAAUGCGUAGAGAUCGGGAGGAAUACCAGUGGCGAAGGCGGCCUUCUGGACUGACACUGACACUGAGGUGCGAAAGCGUGGGUAGCAAACAGGAUUAGAUACCCCAGUAGUC
This 465-nucleotide ribosomal RNA is filed under the name Vreelandella stevensii. RNAcentral's name for it is "partial 16S ribosomal RNA". It matches the Rfam family "Bacterial small subunit ribosomal RNA", at positions 338 to 795 of the family's 1533-position model. Lineage: Bacteria; Pseudomonadati; Pseudomonadota; Gammaproteobacteria; Oceanospirillales; Halomonadaceae. The record is from RNAcentral.